Long non-coding RNA from Suricata suricatta (meerkat), 484 nucleotides. RefSeq lists it as uncharacterized. The transcript is spliced from 3 exons. The record is from RefSeq and is a predicted model, not a curated record. Lineage: Eukaryota; Metazoa; Chordata; Mammalia; Carnivora; Herpestidae.
GAGGGAGGGGAGGCGCUGUGCUGAGUGUAAGGACAGGCCAAGCAAGCAGAGCUGAGAAGCGAACGCCGGGGGUGGCGGGGCAGGGUGGCAGGGCCGGCUGCCCGGCCGAUGCAGCCUCUCUGGACUGCAGGAGCCCAGAGCACGAUGUGGAGACAGCACGGGUGGAAACUGUUCACAGGAAAUUUUCUACAUGGGAAAACCAAAGAAUGGAGCAAUUGUUGGACGGAAGACCAUGUCUGCUACUCAGAGGCACGUGUGGAAUAAGUAGAGCAUUGGAUUUGACUGAGGGUUUCAAAACAGCUGAGAAGAAGAGAAAGAAAGUUGACUGCAUUACUAAAAAUAUAAUUAAUGGAUAUUUACCUGGUUUGCGUUCUAAAAGCUGCUGUAAAUGAAACACUGCUUGUUCAUAGUCCUGUUUCCUGAACAUGAGAUCUGCCAUCAUCUAUAAAGGACACCUGGGUGGCUCAGAUGGCUAAGUGUCUAA